AAGGAUAAGGUAAUAAAGUCCAUUUGGUUCAAGCCCGGUACCAAUGAUUCUCCCCGUAGUGCAUUCCUGUAUAAAAACAAGGUGAUCAGGAAAUAAAACAGAGGAUUUAAGUGAUUUGGUUAAGCGAGUAACGGCUAUGAGACUAAAAUGACUAAUGGGAACAUAAAGAACUGAAUCUAAAGGUAAGGAAGGAAGUGGACUUGCUUGACCUAUUCCAGUUGCCAUGGUUUGAGAUCCGUUGGCCAUUGUGACUGUUGGAAGAGAUUGAUAUGAAAUAGCAGUGAAAAGAGAUUUGUUACUAGAAAUGUAAUCAAAUGCACUUGAAUCAGUGACCCAAGAAUCGGAGGAUGAAGGGGAGACGCAAGCCACGCUAUUACCUGUUUGAACAAUGGAAGUUAUCUCGGAAGAUAUCUGUUUAUAUACUUUGUACUGAAGGAACUCAAUAUAAUCUGGUAGAGAAACCAUCCAACUAUCAUAGUAUUAGAUCUCAUUUCGCUACAACCAAUUUCUCAAAUUCUUGACUAAAACUUAUAUGGUUAACCUUAGAAUGCCAAAUCAGAACAAGUUAAGUUGGAGACUUCCAUUUUUUUCUUAGUUAGAGGGAGUUGGAGAGGGACGACCUCUGAAAACCAAGUUCUUUCCUUGAAAUAGUAAAAGGCUUAAGAAAUAUAUUAGAUAACACCUCUAUCAGAAUCUCAGAGUUACUGUGCGAGUCAGCUGUCCCGAAGGACCUCCGUCAUAACAGUGUUUUAAAAAGCGCUCGCUUCG
Molecule: long non-coding RNA, 768 nt
Filed under: Nicotiana benthamiana
Lineage: Eukaryota; Viridiplantae; Streptophyta; Magnoliopsida; Solanales; Solanaceae
Description: long non-coding RNA (NBEN_LNC021889)
Source: RNAcentral